Helianthus annuus (common sunflower) is the source of this 367-nucleotide long non-coding RNA. RefSeq lists it as uncharacterized. The record is from RefSeq and is a predicted model, not a curated record. The transcript is spliced from 3 exons. NCBI's taxonomy places the organism in Eukaryota, Viridiplantae, Streptophyta, Magnoliopsida, Asterales, Asteraceae.
UCCUUACGGCCUAGAAGUGUCGAUGAGCAGUUGAGGCAAAUUAUUGAUACAUAAGUAAUACAAAUUAUCAUAAUGGAUGAUAAAAGAGUUGGAAUAUACUUUGAUAUAAUUUUGAUUUUUUACAGGGCAAUGGCCAUGUAUGCUUCAGAAAGUGGUGCCAACAUAAGGGUUAAACUCGUAUGGAUUAACGCUAGGGAGGUACUGAAUGCGGCUACUAUGUGAUGAAGUUCAUGAAGGAGAUAGCUUACGAAGGAGUUGAAAUACUUGACAAUGAUAAUGUUGGGAAAGGAGUAGAAGAAUACUCGGCUGCGGAUAUGGAUGGCAUACGUGAAGAUUGGUCGACUUAUGUGGUUAACUCUCUUUUUAA